RNAcentral lists this ribosomal RNA (253 nucleotides) under uncultured bacterium. RNAcentral's name for it is "partial 16S ribosomal RNA". It matches the Rfam family "Bacterial small subunit ribosomal RNA", at positions 524 to 776 of the family's 1533-position model. The record is from RNAcentral.
UACGAAGGGGGCUAGCGUUGUUCGGAAUCACUGGGCGUAAAGCGCACGCAGGCGGAUCGAUAAGUCGGGGGUGAAAGCCCGGGGCUCAACCUCGGAACUGCCUUCGAUACUGUCGGUCUCGAGUCCGGGAGAGGUGAGUGGAAUUCCUAGUGUAGAGGUGAAAUUCGUAGAUAUUAGGAAGAACACCAGUGGCGAAGGUGGAUCACUGGCCCGGUAGUGACGUUCAGGUGCGAAAGCGUGGGGAGCAAACAGG